RNAcentral lists this long non-coding RNA (849 nucleotides) under Homo sapiens (human). Its description in RNAcentral is "HSALNT0246291". Lineage: Eukaryota; Metazoa; Chordata; Mammalia; Primates; Hominidae. The record is from RNAcentral.
CGGUGACACCCCUGCACCUCUCAAACGCGGGAGACCAGGCUUGGUGACCUUGCUGCCCCCGCACCCUGUGGGGAAUCCAGGGAUCGCGCUGCUCCUCCCUGCCCUGUGCCCCUGCCUCCCCGCCGGCGCUGCCCAGGACCCGCAGCUCCCGCACCUGUUGCUGAUCGGAGCCUGGCCCCGUCCACCUCCACCAUCCCGCCAACUGGCCUGAUUUGAUCGAGCCUCGCCAGAUGCAGCCUAAUGUGACUUCGCAGAGCCUGAUGACCUUGAUGGUAGCUCAGGGCGAGAGUGUCUGGCGAGGCAGAUGCCGGGACACAGGUGCCCUCAUUACAACCUCCCCUUUUGCAGGAGGAUGGGGGGCUCACUCAGGGAGAGGAGGGGCGGCCAUGGGAGGACGACUUUGAGUCCCUCAGUCCAGCCUGCUUCCCACAAGCCAGGGCCAGGCUGGGCAGCGCCCACCAAACUUUCCCUAGGACCCGGCUCCAGGGGGUCUGAGGGUUUCCCUGGCAAGCCACCUCCAGAGCCCUGGGCGCCCCAUCUGUGAAACGGGGAGGAGAGCCCAGCCUUCCACAGAGAUGGACCUCCAGGCGCGGCCACACCCGGGUCACACACACACACACUCUGGUCUCUGACCAGCCCCAUCUCGGCCGAGGGUCCAUCCUGGUGCCCUGAUUGGGGAACACCUGCUGCGUGCAGGGUUGAGGUGGCCGGAGAGGCUGGAGCGAGAGUCCUGGUCACCAGGGGCCUCCGAGGCUGCCUACCCCAGUGCCUGCACCCGGCACCGUCGCUGGGGGCCCAUGAUCAGAUUUGCAGCCGGGCCAGAGGGACACACCCUUCCCCCACCUCGCU